Long non-coding RNA from Glycine soja, 718 nucleotides. RefSeq lists it as uncharacterized. The transcript is spliced from 3 exons. NCBI's taxonomy places the organism in Eukaryota, Viridiplantae, Streptophyta, Magnoliopsida, Fabales, Fabaceae. The record is from RefSeq and is a predicted model, not a curated record.
UUUCUAUUUUGUAAUUUCCAAUAACCAACCUCAAAGGUGCUCUUGUUUUUGUUUCUUUUGGAGAAAGAGAGUGAGAGAGAAGAACUGUGUGUUGUGUGUGUAAGAGAGCCAUGGGGAAGCCAUGUUAAACUUGGGAAAGCCCGUUCUCAGUUGGGUAAUUAGGUGAGACUUAUUGAAUUUAUUCGGGUCAAAUAGUUUAACGGGUUAACCCGCAAUGAACCCUUUAAAAAUAAUAAAAACAACAUGAAGGGUUUUAGAAUUAGGGCUUUUUCAGUUUUUCCUCUUCUGAAUCCAUCGCCACUGCAGCGUGGACGGAAUCGGAGUGCAGCCAUAGCAGAAGCAAUAGAAGCCCUAUACUAACCUUGUGGUAUAGAGCUCCUGAAGUCCUCUUGGGAGCUACCCAUUACUACUCAAAAGGAUUUGAUAUGGGAGGAUAUUCAGGCGGAAUUUGAAACCCCUGAAGUUUCUGACAGUAGGACAAAGAAGAAAAUUCUUCAGAUUGUCGGCGAGCACUAGAGGCAGUUUAAAUCUGACUUGACUAGGAAAUGAGCACUUGCAGCCGACAAGGAUGGUGUGGACGACAUUGUCUGUGAAAAAUAUGGCAUUAGCAAGGAGAAAUGUGAAAAAAUUAAUAUAUAUAUGAAUACUAUAAUUUAUAAUAUUUGUAUUUCAUAUUUUUGAAAUUGUGGAUAAUUAGGUAUAAUAUUAAAUGAUUUAG